UACUCGUAUACGGACAGACCUGCCUGGAGACGAAUAGAGGAACAGUGUCUCGGUUCCUAAGAUUAUCGGAAAUAUGUGUUUUCCGAUAGUCUUAGACGACCUCUGUGAAAGGAUCAUUCGACCCCAAAGGGGUCGUGACCCACAGGUUGAGAACCACUGAUCUACACAGUCAGACAACGGGUCUUCAUAUAUCAAUUAUGUAAUGGCACUAAACAUUAAGUCAAUUAACAUAUGGUUUAACUGCAUUACUCCUAUACAGUUUUAAGAGGGUAAUAUACUUAGACUAUUAUUUCCAUAAAUUAAUAUAUAGAUUAAUUAUAUAUUUAACGUCUUGAGUACCUUUGUCAUCUAUAGACAUCAUGACCUAAUUACUGCCUGCAUGUCUGUGAUGUGGAUAGAUGUCAAAACAAAAUGAUAAAAAAAAACAAAAAAGGAAGGUUUAAAAAAUUUAAUCCUGAUUUUAUUAAUCCAGCA
This 474-nucleotide long non-coding RNA is filed under the name Androctonus crassicauda. Lineage: Eukaryota; Metazoa; Arthropoda; Arachnida; Scorpiones; Buthidae. The record is from RNAcentral.